UACAGAGGGGGCAAGCGUUAUUCGGAAUUAUUGGGCGUAAAGGGCGCGUAGGCGGGUGGACAAGUCAGGGGUGAAAGCCCACGGCUCAACCGUGGAAGUGCCUUUGAUACUGUCCGUCUGGAGGGAGGUAGGGGCGUGCGGAACUUCCGGUGGAGCGGUGAAAUGCGUAGAGAUGUGGAGGAACACCAGUGGCGAAGGCGACUCUUUGGUCUGUAACUGACGCUGAGGCGCGAAAGCGUGGGGAGCAAACAGG
Molecule: ribosomal RNA, 253 nt
Filed under: uncultured bacterium
Lineage: Bacteria
Description: partial 16S ribosomal RNA
Rfam family: Bacterial small subunit ribosomal RNA
Source: RNAcentral